UAGUCAAAGGUGUGCUUAGCAAAGUCUAGA
Molecule: non-coding RNA, 30 nt
Filed under: Mus musculus (house mouse)
Lineage: Eukaryota; Metazoa; Chordata; Mammalia; Rodentia; Muridae
Source: RNAcentral